Molecule: long non-coding RNA, 466 nt
Organism: Camelus dromedarius (Arabian camel)
Lineage: Eukaryota; Metazoa; Chordata; Mammalia; Artiodactyla; Camelidae
Exons: 3
Source: RefSeq, a predicted model, not a curated record
CCUGGGGUCCUGUUGCGCAGUAAGGAGCAGUCCGUCUGUCAGAGCGAGCAGGGAACUGAGAAUUGGGAAGUUGAGUUGGCCAGCCAAAAUGCUCCGCUCAGGUCCCUCGGGGACCCAGAAGAGAGGAAGCACUUAGAAUUUUGCAGUGCUUCCCUUGUCUGUCCUGCUGAGAAGAAAAGAAAAAUGGAAGAAUAUAUGACCAAAAGAAUGAGUCUCCUUUUCACAAGAGCUGCAGAAAGUUGUUGAACUCCUUGGAUGAAAAAAGAGUUAUAAAGGGUUUAAGGAUGGAGAGAAAUUGGUGGAUCCUGAGGUGGGAGAACCGGGCCUAGAAAGGCUACAAAGAUAAUGUUAAUCUCUCAUGAGAUUUAUUUUUCUUUUUUUUUAUUGAAGUAUAUAAUCAGUUUACAAUUUGUCAGUUGUCAAUUUCUGUUGUACAGCAUAAUGUUUCAGUUAUACAUAUACAUAC